Molecule: long non-coding RNA, 2608 nt
Organism: Tripterygium wilfordii
Lineage: Eukaryota; Viridiplantae; Streptophyta; Magnoliopsida; Celastrales; Celastraceae
Exons: 4
Source: RefSeq, a predicted model, not a curated record
UCCAUUCCCGUCUUCUCUGCUGCAAGAAAUUGCAUAGAGGGAGAGAAAUGAAGACGAGAGGGUUUAGCAGUCGCAGAUCGACAUUGCCGAUAGCGUCUCCUGAUUCUCCGAAGGGAUCUCCGUCAUCCGGCGUACUUGACAAGACUCACUCGUUUUUUAUGAACGAAAUCAGUAGCAACAAGAGCACACCUCCUCCGACUCGUCGACAAGGUCCCCUUCUCGCAAAACCCUAACCUCCGUCUCCGAUCUCGAGGAUCUUCCGUCUUCGCGCCUCGACGAUCUGAGGAGAAAUCUUAUUCAUCGGUUGCACGUAGAGAUUCUCAAGGACGCGAAAGCCUCCCACUCUCGCCUCCAGCUUGAAGAAUGAAUAACUCAGUAUGCACUGAGUGUUCUUUGGUUGCUAAUUUUCUACUCAAAUCCACCGUGGUCAACCUUGCCAUGUAGGUUUUAUUUCUAAAUUCAUUCUUUCAAGGCUUUCUGUUAAUCAUGUUGACAACUCUGAUUCUGAAUAAAUAGUACAAAGGCAAAUAUGUUGUUUAAUCCGGAUAUGGAUCUAAAAACUAAUCCAAAUCACGUACUUGUUUUAAGAGCUUUAGACGGUUGAUGUAAUUUUGUUGGAUCAUUUCAUGGAGAGUUUUUCCUUUUAUUUGAUUGCAUAGUUCUUGUUACUAAAACUUAAUUGAUUAGAAAUAAUUUGUUAGAAUGGAUUUUUAAUCUGCAUCAUUACAAUCUUUCGGAGGUUUUUUUCCCACUCUAUCACAUAUCUCCGUCUUGUAGUAUAUUGAUUGAUUAUUUGGUGAUAACUAACAGGAGCUUCAAGUUCUGUUCAUGGCAGAAUGAAUUCAAAUUGUACGGCUGGUUGUAAUUUUACACCUAAUUUUUUUAUUUAGGAUGCUAAACUUCCUGAACUUAGUCUUGAUGUGCAUUUUGCACCUCUGUGCAGCUUGACCAAUCUGCUGAGCAUAAUCACUCAAAGUUUAGGUUCAAAACCUGAGCAAGAGAACCUAUCUUAAACUGAAGAAGCAAAGUUUUGUUUGGUUUGCCUAGUUUUAGCUCUUUGCCACUAGGCCCACUACCAUAACAAUGAUUACUUUAAUCCAUUUCGUCCUAAUACGUUUCUUUUAGAUACCUCCUGCAGCAUACUUUCACUGGCACAAGGCAUUUGGUGUCUUAAAAAAACUAUUUACGAGGGCCAUCGAACCAAGGUGUUGGCAUGGUCCCUUCUAGAACUUGAAAGUUUGGUGAACUGUUGGAAAAGAUAAGAGAGCUUUGACUAGUGAAUCCCCUCAAGCUCUACUUUUAGAGUCCAUAGAAUGCCAUAUCUUUUAUUCAGUCUACUACUCCUUUGCUUCAUGAACUUGUUUUAUUAUUGGUAAUUUGGUAUGUUGAGUACUGUAUCCGGUUGAAACACUUCCACUUUUGGCUACUACUAGAUAGCUGAAACUUUAUGCAUUAAAUAGUUGCUUUGGGCUAUAUUAACGUGAAAAUUUUCUUAGCAUAUCCCAUGCCACCUUUGGGCCAGUGGCAUAUCCAGGAUUUUACCUUGACAGGGGCUUACUACCUAAUUUCAAUUGAUACUAUUAAAAAAUUAAGUAUACAUAAAAAUAACUGAAAGAAAAUUUUCACGAGCCUUACUUGAAUGCAAAAUAUAUGCAUGAAAAGAUUUUUGGAUAUUUUAUUCAGGUAAUCUAAUGAUUAGGUUAGUUGAUAGUUAUAUGGUUUGAAGUAACAUCUAUGACAGUACUACUGGAGAGAGUAUACUUAUGUAUUGAUAGCAAUUGAAAUAUGUGGGGUGUUAAUCAUUCUCAUGGCAACCUUCGGCGGUGUGGUCCUAUGGGAUGAUUCCCAAAAUGCAAUUGUGUGCUGUAAUUAUGCAUCAUUCAAGAUGGGAAUUUUUCUUCACUUGGAACGCACCAAAUCCCAUUAUUCCAAGCUUAUGCACUUGUUAGGUGCAGUUUUAGAUAAAAGCAUCCCAGCAAGUGAUGGGUGAAACAGAGAAAAGAAUAUAAGAAGAUCAAUGGGCAGAUCAGUGAAAUUCAGGAAACAAUGAAGGUUUCAUAUGCAGAGUUAGUGUCAGAGGCACAGACUGCCGUAUUUCAUGGAACACUAGUGUUAUUUUUCUUUUUUCUAUCUCUCAUAUUUUUGAUAUUAUAAUGACUCGAACUCAAAGGACCUGAACUUUAAAUUGUGGCUGCCUAAUAUGAUGAACCUUUUUAGCAUAUUUUGCCUGUCCUGUUGAUGAAUUUCAUAAGAUGUCCUAUUUCAAAUUGUUGCAUGUAAAUUAAAUCUCAACUGAAAGAUAACUGAAUCUAAACUGCUGCAUUUGAAGGGGUUGUCACCUGCCUGUUCUGUUAAAAAGGUUUUCAGAGUAAUGCCAAUCAUAUACAGAAUUUUAAAUCCUUUUCUCUGUGCAUGUCUAUUGGCUAACACUUCCCGUGCACAGAUUGGCUACUUAUUUUCCCAUUCUUUUUGUGCUUUUAUGAUUUAUUCCAGUUUUAAUCUUUCAGAUCAUGCAUUUGUUUUCCUUUCAUUCUGACCUUGUCCGGCAUUAUCAUGCAGAUACAAGCUUCAAUCCUUUUGUUUGUAACAUUGUUUCUUCAUUCAAUUU